RNAcentral lists this ribosomal RNA (454 nucleotides) under uncultured Alistipes sp. RNAcentral describes it as "partial 16S ribosomal RNA". It matches the Rfam family "Bacterial small subunit ribosomal RNA", at positions 341 to 792 of the family's 1533-position model. The record is from RNAcentral. Lineage: Bacteria; Pseudomonadati; Bacteroidota; Bacteroidia; Bacteroidales; Rikenellaceae.
ACGGAAGGCAGCAGUGAGGAAUCUUGGUCAAUGGACGGAAGUCCGAACCAGCCAAGUCGCGUGCGGGAUGAAGGCCCUACGGGUCGUAAACCGCUUUUGUACGGGGAUAAAGUCACCCACGUGUGGGUGUUUGUAGGUACCGUCAGAAUAAGGAUCGGCUAACUCCGUGCCAGCAGCCGCGGUAAUACGGAGGAUCCGAGCGUUAUCCGGAUUUAUUGGGUUUAAAGGGUGCGCAGGCGGGCUGCUAAGUCUCCGGUGAAAUGUCAGGGCUCAACCUUGGCACUGACGGAGAUACUGGCGGCCUUGAGAGUGGCGGGGGUAUCCGGAAUGUGUGGUGUAGCGGUGAAAUGCAUAGAUAUCACACAGAACACCGAUUGCGAAGGCAGGAUCCCAUACCAUAUCUGACGCUCAGGCACGAAAGCGUGGGGAUCGAACAGGAUUAGAUACCCGGGUA